Molecule: long non-coding RNA, 430 nt
Organism: Loxodonta africana (African savanna elephant)
Lineage: Eukaryota; Metazoa; Chordata; Mammalia; Proboscidea; Elephantidae
Exons: 4
Source: RefSeq, a predicted model, not a curated record
UCCGGCUUCCCGGCAGGCCCCGCGCGGCUUCCGGCGCUCCGUGACUUGCGUGCCGCUGGCUUGCGUCCCCGGACCGCCGAGCCGCUCGUCCUUCGCCGAGAUGUUUAAAACCUUUAUUAAAACUGUUUGGAUCCCCUUGAAGCCCUACUAUACCGAAGUCUACCAGGAGAUUUGGGUAGGAGUGGGUGUGUUGGGCUUCGUCAUUUAUAAGGUCGGGACUAUUGGUAAAAAACGUAAAGCUUUGAAAGAAGCUUCGAGUCCUGCGCCUGACCAAGGCCACCAUUAAGCAGCCUUACAUGGAGUGCCCUUCAGAUGAGACGUCAGUCUGGCUGUAAAUUGAAGCAAACAGUUUUAGACGGGGGCGGGGAGCAUGGCUGUCUGCUCGUCCGAGCAGCAUUUACUGGUGGCAUGAAUAAACAUGUGAGAUGAA